UCACAUGGUUCAGUCAAGCUCGAUCAAGAUAAUUGGACACCCAUUUUAAGAUCCAGAUGAUACGUUGGUUCAAGCAUACAUUUUAUGCCCUACUGUGAAUAAACCACACCAAUCUAACCAUUCUAACCUACCUCCAAUCAAUAGUAUAUAUAGAGAAUCAAGGUCCUUAGUAUAAAAAUAGGUCCAAUCAAUAAUGUGAUACUUUUAUUCAAUAGGCACCAUCAUGGAUUCAUUAGGGUUCUAAGGCAGCAAUUUUAUUAGGCCAUCUUAAUCAUCCCAUCCAUUGCUUGAAAAAAAAAUGGAAAUGAAAAAGGCCAUCUUAUGAAUUUAUUU
This is a long non-coding RNA of Magnolia sinica, 333 nucleotides long. RefSeq lists it as uncharacterized. The record is from RefSeq and is a predicted model, not a curated record. The transcript has 2 exons. Lineage: Eukaryota; Viridiplantae; Streptophyta; Magnoliopsida; Magnoliales; Magnoliaceae.